AACAAACGCUGGCGGCGUGCCUAAUACAUGCAAGUCGAACGAGGUAGCAAUACCUAGUGGCGCACGGGUGAGUAACGCGUGGAUAAUCUGCCCUUGAGUGGGGGAUAACUAGUCGAAAGAUUAGCUAAUACCGCAUAAGACCACAGGAACUGAGGUUCUAGGGGUUAAAGGUUUUUCGCUCAUAGAUGAGUCCGCGUGAGAUUAGCUAGUUGGUGAGGUAACGGCUCACCAAGGCGACGAUCUCUAACUGGUCUGAGAGGAUGAUCAGUCACACUGGAACUGAGACACGGUCCAGACUCCUACGGGAGGCAGCAGUAGGGAAUAUUGCACAAUGGAGGAAACUCUGAUGCAGCGACGCCGCGUGAGUGAUGAAGGCUUUCGGGUCGUAAAGCUCUGUCGCAGGGGAAUAACACAAUGAAUGUACCCUGUAAGAAAGGAUCGGCUAACUUCGUGCCAGCAGCCGCGGUAA
RNAcentral lists this ribosomal RNA (469 nucleotides) under uncultured bacterium. RNAcentral describes it as "partial 16S ribosomal RNA". It matches the Rfam family "Bacterial small subunit ribosomal RNA", at positions 29 to 523 of the family's 1533-position model. The record is from RNAcentral.